UACAGAGGGGGCAAGCGUUUGUUCGGAAUUACUGGGCGUAAAGGGCGCGUAGGCGGCCUGUUAAGUCGAACGUGAAAUCCCCGGGCUCAACCCGGGAACUGCGUCCGAUACUGGCAGGCUUGAAUUCGGGAGAGGGAUGCGGAAUUCCAGGUGUAGCGGUGAAAUGCGUAGAUAUCUGGAGGAACACCGGUGGCGAAGGCGGCAUCCUGGACCGAGAUUGACGCUGAGGCGCGAAAGCCAGGGGAGCAAACGGGG
This 255-nucleotide ribosomal RNA is filed under the name uncultured bacterium. RNAcentral describes it as "partial 16S ribosomal RNA". It matches the Rfam family "Bacterial small subunit ribosomal RNA", at positions 524 to 777 of the family's 1533-position model. The record is from RNAcentral.